CCGGUCUUGCGAUCCGUCGAGGCAGCAAUGCUUAGGAAAGUCCGGACAGGAAAGGGCAUCACGCUGUGGAAAGCACAGGUGGAGGUAACUUUACGCCGCUGUAACAGAAAACAACCGCCGGGCAAGCCCGCAAGGGCGUUCGAGCGCGGCAAGGGUGAAAACGUGAGGCAAGAGCUCACGACGUGCUGCAGCGAUGCAGUGCGGGUACGGCACCGGGACCUGCAAAACCAAAUAUACUGGCAGAUGAGGGCUGCCCGCCCGAUGCCAGGGGGUAGGUCGCGAAGAUAAAUGACGGAUUCAAAAACAGAAACCGGCUUACGGCAGGACCACAAAU
RNAcentral lists this RNase P RNA (334 nucleotides) under Candidatus Cryptobacteroides choladohippi. Its description in RNAcentral is "RNase P RNA component class A". It matches the Rfam family "Bacterial RNase P class A". From Rfam's summary of the family: Ribonuclease P (RNase P) is a ubiquitous endoribonuclease, found in archaea, bacteria and eukarya as well as chloroplasts and mitochondria. Its best characterised activity is the generation of mature 5'-ends of tRNAs by cleaving the 5'-leader elements of precursor-tRNAs. The record is from RNAcentral. Lineage: Bacteria; Pseudomonadati; Bacteroidota; Bacteroidia; Bacteroidales.